UCGAACGAACUCUGGUAUUGAUUGGUGCUUGCAUCAUGAUUUACAUUUGUGUGAGUGGCGAACUGGUGAGUAACACGUGGGAAACCUGCCCAGAAGCGGGGGAUAACACCUGGAAACAGAUGCUAAUACCGCAUAACAACUUGGACCGCAUGGUCCGAGCUUGAAAGAUGGCUUCGGCUAUCACUUUUGGAUGGUCCCGCGGCGUAUUAGCUAGAUGGUGGGGUAACGGCUCACCAUGGCAAUGAUACGUAGCCGACCUGAGAGGGUAAUCGGCCACAUUGGGACUGAGACACGGCCCAAACUCCUACGGGAGGCAGCAGUAGGGAAUCUUCCACAAUGGACGAAAGUCUGAUGGAGCAACGCCGCGUGAGUGAAGAAGGGUUUCGGCUCGUAAAACUCUGUUGUUAAAGAAGAACAUAUCUGAGAGUAACUGUUCAGGUAUUGACGGUAUUUAACCAGAAAGCCACGGCUAACUACGUGCCAGCAGCCGCGGUAAUACGUAGGUGGCAAGCGUUGUCCGGAUUUAUUGGGCGUAAAGCGAGCGCAGGCGGUUUUUUAAGUCUGAUGUGAAAGCCUUCGGCUCAACCGAAGAAGUGCAUCGGAAACUGGGAAACUUGAGUGCAGAAGAGGACAGUGGAACUCCAUGUGUAGCGGUGAAAUGCGUAGAUAUAUGGAAGAACACCAGUGGCGAAGGCGGCUGUCUGGUCUGUAACUGACGCUGAGGCUCGAAAGUAUGGGUAGCAAACAGGAUUAGACACCCUGGUAGUCCAUACCGUAAACGAUGAAU
This 787-nucleotide ribosomal RNA is filed under the name uncultured bacterium. Its description in RNAcentral is "bacterial SSU rRNA". It matches the Rfam family "Bacterial small subunit ribosomal RNA", at positions 62 to 814 of the family's 1533-position model. The record is from RNAcentral.